Non-coding RNA from Puccinia sorghi, 86 nucleotides. NCBI's taxonomy places the organism in Eukaryota, Fungi, Basidiomycota, Pucciniomycetes, Pucciniales, Pucciniaceae. The record is from the annotation of a GenBank genome assembly.
GGUUUGGUGGUCUAGUAGUAUGAUUCACCCUUAGGGCUCCAGCUAUAGCAUGGGUGAGGUCCCGGGUUCAAUUCCCGGCCAGACCC